GGGCGGUUAGCUCAGCUGGUUAGAGCGCUGCGUUCACAUCGCAGAGGUCAGAGGUUCAAAUCCUCUAUCGCCCA
Molecule: transfer RNA, 74 nt
Filed under: Candidatus Omnitrophota bacterium
Lineage: Bacteria; Pseudomonadati; Candidatus Omnitrophota
Description: Candidatus Omnitrophica bacterium tRNA-Val
Rfam family: tRNA
About the family: Transfer RNA (tRNA) molecules are approximately 80 nucleotides in length. Their secondary structure includes four short double-helical elements and three loops (D, anti-codon, and T loops).
Source: RNAcentral